GUAAUCGCCUAGCAAAUGCAAUAACUCCCAUGUUCCGAGUUCUAAGGGGCAGGAGUUACAUAGUAAAAGCAUUCUUCAUCCUAUUUAAGGGGAGAUAAGUGGGGGAUCUAAAAAAAAAUUUUUAGUCUCAACUCUUUGCUUUUGUACUUCGGUUCUUUCUAUUAUUUCUUAUUUUUAGUUGAUUUAAGUAUCAAACAAUCUCCUAUCGGAUAAUUUUCAACAAAUAGAUUUAAUUUUAUAGAUUUUUCACUAUCCAAUAAUCAGACGCAAUAUCUCGACUUGCGACCGAUCACCGAAGAUUUACGACAACAGAUUUAUCCAAAAAAUAUUAAAAUAGUAAGAAAAAGAUAAACAGAAUAUUAAAAGAUAACUAAAAUAUUAACAGCCGUGAAAGGACCAAAACAUUAACAGCUGUGAAAGGACUCAGGAGAGCAAGAUUGACAAAGAUACAACAGUCCGGCACAGGGAAGGACAGCAAACACCUGAGCUUGAGCUUGAGCUUGAGAGAAGAAUAAACGCAGCAAGAAGAUGAAGCAGUGAAAACCUAUAAAUCAAAUCAAGUACUAGCCAAUCUUUGAAUCAGACCUUUCAAUUUAUGCCAGACUUCGCUACGGUGAGGUAGGAAUUUUGAGUUGUAUAAGAUGGAUCAUUCAUUGAAAAAAAGAAGACCAGCAGCUGUAAUGAAAGAGGUAGAGGAUAGUUUGUUCUAGAAGAUCUGAUUGGUACGCUCUUUUCAAAUGAUCUAAGUUAUGAUAGCGAUCGAUAUUAGGAUGACAGGCUGAGUAUUCUUAUCAAAAUUUUUACAUCUCCGAUCGAAAUAUAGGCCAA
RNAcentral lists this long non-coding RNA (828 nucleotides) under Elaeis guineensis (African oil palm). RNAcentral's name for it is "long non-coding RNA (EGUI_LNC015849)". The record is from RNAcentral. Lineage: Eukaryota; Viridiplantae; Streptophyta; Magnoliopsida; Arecales; Arecaceae.